UUGCUAUUAAACUUAACUACAUAAUACAUAAAAAGGAGAACCUUGGAUUUUGGAAUGGAUGCAUAAUAUACAUCAAGCAAAGGCUGAUUUAUUACAUUUUUUUUACAAAUUAAGAUAUUCUUCUUAUGUUCCUAUUGUAAACCCUACUUCCUAAAGGAUUUCAUGAACUGUCUCAUUAAUCUUGAUUCCAGGAUACAUUUGUGAAAAAUUAAACUCUUAUAGUUUCAUAUAUGUGGUACCUUUAAUUCUCUGCAUCCAAAAGUGUACAAUGUUUGCUUCGAAUCACACUUGUUAAUGAACAAAUCAUUCUUCUUAAUUUGAUUCUCAACAACCCGUCUGCAUAUCAUGAAAAAGGGCAUACACUACUAUUAACAACAUGAUAUCUAUUUCAUGUGUGUGAUUAUAAAACAUACGACAACCAAUAUGUAACACCCAGAAUCAGAAAGACCAAGAAAGGAAAGGAAAACCCUAAGUCAAGGGGUCAACUCGUCGAGUCCAAAGGUGAACUCGACGAGUCAGAGUGGGAUCCGGGUUAUAGAAUAAGUGACCGACUCGACGAGUCAGAAAGUGGACUCGGCGAGUCUGGUUUGAUCAAGGAAAGCCCUAAUCCGAGGGUUUGCACCCUAGUUAAAGGACCUUAAGUCCUUUCCUUAGUCCCCCCUUGUCGGCCAGAAGCUGCUAUACACGAUACCAAACCCUAGUUGAGUGAGAGAAGGAAGAAAGUGAGUUUAGGGCUUUUGCAAGAGGAAGGUUUGGAGGAUUUGACCACUAAGGAGCUGGAGGAUCCAACCCUUUUGUUGUGAGCAUCAGUUUGAAGGUAACAAUUUGUCACCUUGCCUUUGUUGCUUCUAGAUCUUCUCAUGGAUGAGCUUUUAGGGCCAUUUUGGUAUGAUAAGGAGCCUUUUUGAGUUAGAAGUCUAGAUCUAAGGUUUCUACUUCAGAUCUAGGUGUGUCUUGGUUUAGAGAUCCAUAAAGUAUCAGUUUUUGGUGUGUUGGUUAAGUAUGUUUGCCCCAAACCCUAGCCCUAGAGUAUUUUAAGCCUAUAUCUCCUUGGUUUCACGUAAAGUUUGCAACUUUACGUGAGGAAUAGACUUUGGAAGAGUGGAUCUACAAGAUGAAGCCCCUGCAUGGCUCGAAAAGCCACUGUAUGGAUUAAGAACUGAAGCUACUCGGAGAGUCACAUGGGUGGACUCGGCGAGUUGGAUGAAGAUAGGCAGGAACUCGACGAGUUGGAAGAACAACUUGGCGAGUCUGUUGAAUAUUGCCAUGGACUCAGCGAGUCUGUUCUUGGACUCGACGAGUUGGAUCGCAAAACCUCAACCUUUUCUGGUUAAGACUUAGAUCGAUGAAUUAAGUGAUGACUCAGUGAGUUGGGCAGGAUGGGACUCAUAGAUCGUUGACCUCGACGAGUCUUGGGGUGACUCGGCGAGUUGAGUCAUUUUAUGGGAGUUUCUGAAUUCAUGGACUCGACGAGUCUUGGGGUGACUCGGCGAGUAGAGUCAGUCAAGAGGGUUGACUUUGACCAAGAAUUUGACUUUGGCAAGAGUGGGCUUAGACGGUUUCUAAGAGUUAUGUUUGGAUCUAAGUGUUAUGUAUAUAGAUAUUGGUAGCUCGGGGAGCUAGUGGAGCAGCGGUUCAGAGAAUUAUCAAUCAGCAGUCAGAGGGUUAUCAGCAAGAGUUCCUCAGUUCAGGUGAGUUUCCCUUUUGUGUGAAUGGGUCUAAGNAAUGGGUCUAAGGCCACAAUGCCGGCCCAUGUAGUUAUGAGUAGGAAGACCCGGGGGUUAGCCCUAGGCACUGUUUGCUAUUAUGAUAUUCAGGACCAAGGUCCGAUGUCGGGCGGGUGCCCAAGGAAUGGUUUGCAUGAUAGAGUAUACUUGUUGUCUGUGUGAUGCAUGUAUGUGCCUGGUAGGAAGGUGAGUGUGGGCGAGGUCCCGUAUCUCACCAAUAGCAGAGUAUGGACGGUGUUCCAUAUCUCAUUAUUAGCAGAGCAUAGGCGAGGCCCGAGAUAGGUAUGGAGUGAGUGUGGGCGUGGUCCCGUAUCUCACUUACAGUAGGAGCUUGGACGGGGUUCCAUGACUCACUAGUGACAGGAUAGGGCGAGGCCCAAGACAGGCGAGACCUAAGGACAGGAUUACAGUAGGGUAUGUUCAAUUAUGUGUUAUAUGCUAAUUGUAUUAUGUGGUUAGCGGGUGGGGCCCAGAGACAGGCGGGGGCUAAGAGAAACAUAUAUGUAUCCGAGCGGGGCUCGAAGCCAGGCGGGGACUGGAGCGGNUGUAGCGGGCGAGACCCGAAGUAGCGGGCGUGGCCCAGUAUGUGCAGUAUGUGUUUAUGCAGGGUAUGUGGUAGGUUGGGGGAACUCACUAAGUUUUGUGCUUACGGUUUUCAGUUUUGUUUUCAGGUACUUCCGGUAGCGGAAUGAAGAGCUCGGGGUGAUCGCAUGGCACAAACCAUUGAUUAGUCAGCCUGGGAUGUUUUACUCUGAUAAUGAAAUUAUGUUUUGGAAUUAAUACUCUGAAUUAUGUUAUGCUUAAUGACAUGUUUUUAUAAAAAUGGUUUUAAUAAUGAUUUAAAGAAAAAAUUUUGGUACCGAUUUUUGGGAUGUUACACAAUAUGAACUCAUAUGUGAACUGUUUGAAGCCAAAACUUUGGAGGAGCAAUUUUAGAAACAUUUGGUGCACGUGCACCAACUUCUUGGUCACUAACACUCCUUUCUUAAUCCUAAAGCCAUGAAUGAACACUAUACUCAAUAAAGUGAAUGAAUGUAGUGAUAAAGAAAGGGCAUCGGACAAAAAAAGAAAGAUAAUUAUAGGUGAAUGGGUUAAAUGUGGAUUCCAGAUCAAUAUACAAAGAUAACAAUCUCAAUUAGGAUUCAAAAGCACAUAUGUAUCAUCAAAAACAAUUUUAUAUGCUAAAUUUUAAAAAGUAUAGUUUUUACUGCAAUUGUUUAGAUGGGCUAACAAUCGAACUCAUACGAACUUGCUAAACAAUGAUGAUACACAUGUGCAACAAAAAACAAUUUCAAUACAUGGAAAAGAAAUGGAUCAACAUUUUCAAAAAUUAAAAUUAAAAUAUGUUAGAAAGCUACAAGAAAGAAAACAAUUAAAGUGAUGAUACACAUGUGCAUAAUAUAACAAUUUUAUAUGCUAAAUUCUAAAAACCUAUUUUUUAGCACUUGUUUAAAUACCUUCAUCGUGUUCAUCAGUUCCCCUUCCAUCUUGAAACGUAUUACCAACAUCAACAUCAGCAUCAAAAUCAACUUCAGAAUCUAUUAUCUAUAAUGAAAUAUGCCAAUGGUAUUGGACAUGAAAUCUGAAUCCCUUUUUAGAUUUUCCUGUUAAAUAAAGGAUGAUGAUAUUAGAUGGCUUAAAAGAUGUAUCUAUCAAACCUCAUAAACGAUGAACACACAAUCAGUUUAAAAUUUCAUGAACACACAUGAUCAAAAUUCAGUAUUAUGUUAUAAAAUUGGUGAAUUUAAUUUUCCAGAAUUGUUGUUCAGAUAACAUUAAAUUAAAAAUUAUAACAUGAACAACUUUAUAUAUAAUAAUGUUUAUUGUUGGAUUUUCCAAAUUAAAAAGUUUUGAUUGUAUAUUUUUCAAACACAGUUGAGUGUUGUAGUGAAGAAGUACCAUAAUACCAUAAACAUAUUAACAAAAGUGCAUUGUUAUUUCUUGUUUCAUUACAUAAUUAAAAAAAAAAGUGAACUACUUAAAAAUGAAUUACAUUAUCAUUAAGACUAUGCGGACUAACGGAGUGGCACUCACCAAGUCACUCGCUUUCCUCGACAAAAAUAUAGAACACCACCCCCUAGCUCUUGCCAGGGGGUUCGCCAAAUAAAACACGCUAAACACAAAACGAGAAGAAAUAGAGAGUGCUGUGAGGUUUUGAUUGGCUGAAAUGCAUUGCGUAGGAUUGCAUAUUUAAACUUCAGCGUAUUUAAUUCUUGAUUAUUCUUGACUCCAUCCC
RNAcentral lists this long non-coding RNA (3963 nucleotides) under Lactuca sativa (garden lettuce). RNAcentral's name for it is "long non-coding RNA (LSAT_LNC005934)". The record is from RNAcentral. Lineage: Eukaryota; Viridiplantae; Streptophyta; Magnoliopsida; Asterales; Asteraceae.